AACGAACGCUGGCGGCAGGCUUAACACAUGCAAGUCGAACGCACCUUUCGGGGUGAGUGGCAGACGGGUGAGUAACGCGUGGGAAUCUACCCUUCUCUACGGGAUAGCUCCGGGAAACUGGAAUUAAUACCGUAUACGUCCUGAGGGAGAAAGAUUUAUCGGGGAAGGAUGAGCCCGCGUUGGAUUAGCUAGUUGGUGGGGUAAAGGCCUACCAAGGCGACGAUCCAUAGCUGGUCUAAGAGGAUGAUCAGCCACAUUGGGACUGAGGCACGGCCCAAACUCCUACGGGAGGCAGCAGUGGGGAAUAUUGGACAAUGGGCGCAAGCCUGAUCCAGCCAUGCCGCGUGAGUGAUGAAGGCCCUAGGGUUGUAAAGCUCUUUCAGUGGGGACGAUAAUGACGGUACCCACAGAAGAAGCCCCGGCUAACUUCGUG
This 433-nucleotide ribosomal RNA is filed under the name uncultured bacterium. Its description in RNAcentral is "partial 16S ribosomal RNA". It matches the Rfam family "Bacterial small subunit ribosomal RNA", at positions 29 to 507 of the family's 1533-position model. The record is from RNAcentral.